RNAcentral lists this transfer RNA (74 nucleotides) under Candidatus Omnitrophota bacterium. Its description in RNAcentral is "tRNA-Met". It matches the Rfam family "tRNA". Rfam says of the family: Transfer RNA (tRNA) molecules are approximately 80 nucleotides in length. Lineage: Bacteria; Pseudomonadati; Candidatus Omnitrophota. The record is from RNAcentral.
CGCGGGGUGGAGCAGCCUGGUAGCUCGCAAGGCUCAUAACCUUGAGGUCGACUGUUCAAAUCAGUCCCCCGCAA